This 392-nucleotide RNase P RNA is filed under the name Spirochaetota bacterium. Its description in RNAcentral is "Spirochaetes bacterium (activated sludge metagenome) RNase P RNA component class A". It matches the Rfam family "Bacterial RNase P class A". Rfam says of the family: Ribonuclease P (RNase P) is a ubiquitous endoribonuclease, found in archaea, bacteria and eukarya as well as chloroplasts and mitochondria. Its best characterised activity is the generation of mature 5'-ends of tRNAs by cleaving the 5'-leader elements of precursor-tRNAs. The record is from RNAcentral. Lineage: Bacteria; Pseudomonadati; Spirochaetota.
CAGCCCGGGCAGGGAUCCGCUCCCCGCAAAACGGGGGGAGGAAAGUCCGGACUCCAACCGGAAACGGCGCCGGGUAAUUCCCGGGCAUGGGGAGGGCGACUUCCCCGUGACGGACAGGGCCACAGAAAAUAGACCGCCCCCGAAACCGGCGCAAGCCGGCGGAGGGGGUAAGGGUGAAAAGGUGGUGUAAGAGACCCCCGCGUCGGCCGCAAUGCCGACGGCACGGUAAACCCCGCCGGGAGCAAGACCAAGAAGUCCCCGCGGACCCGCCCUUCGGGACGGGCCCAGACUCCGGAGAAAGGGGACAGGUAGGUUGCCAGAGGCCCGCCGAAAGGCGUGCCCCAGAGAAAUGGGUCCCACCACAGAAUCCGGCUUAUCGUCCGGGCUGGUAU